CUCAUGAGAGUUUAUUUUCAUGGUAGUAAAUAUUUCUUCUGUCUGAUGCUUCUAGUGACUCUUCAGAAGCCAGACCAUGUUGAAUUUUCUUCCUUGGGCACUGUUUUAACCUCCAAGAUCCUUCCAGUAUUUUUCUUCCAGAGAUACCACUCACUUGUUCAGCUCCUUGGGUGUAUCAGUACUAUGAGGCUUUCAUGGUGCAAGGUGUGACCAUGCCUCCAUCCCAGUCAGGAAGUUCCUGAAGCUGCCAGGCAAGGGAUCAGAAGAGCUCCUGUGCAUCCAGAGCAGACACUGUGUUGUCUCCCAUGGCAGCACUUGCCCAUGGAAAGGCCAGAGGCGGGGAUCUGCCACAAGAAACUCUUGGGCAGCGUGAGAGCCUAAAAUAGAGCAGCAGUCCAGAAGGAUGGUGUGUGUGCUCCUUGUUUGAGCCAGGAUAAAAAUGUCUAAAUGUGUUUUUCCUCUUGCCAAGCGUUCACGAUGAUGGUGGAGCAGUGUUAUGCCAUGAGGCCAGCGUCAAGCAAGCUGUGUGGGCAGAACAGACCUAGUGGACAUAGUUUCUACGGAUGCAGGCAUCUAUUUGAGCAAGCUUUCAGGCACAACAAACUGUCACAUAAGAUUUCCAUGAUGAGCGGGCAUGAAAUUCAAAUUAUGGGCAACUACUGCUUUCCACUCUGCUGACAAUUUAUUGGGAAUCACACUGAGUCUGUGCUGCAGGCCACUGCUUUAGCUUAACAUGAUCUGACAGACAGUGCCCAGCGCCGUGCAUCAUAACACAAAGCAUCUCACAGCACAUCUGAAGAGUGGAAAGGAAGGGGUGAUCCUGGGGAUAGAAUGCUUCUUAAAUGUUUUUCAGGGCAAGAAGGGUCUUUGUGCUCUAAAAUGUUGGAUGGAGGUAUCUAGCUCUGAUUGCUUUCCAAA
Molecule: long non-coding RNA, 918 nt
Filed under: Coturnix japonica (Japanese quail)
Lineage: Eukaryota; Metazoa; Chordata; Aves; Galliformes; Phasianidae
Description: lncRNA (ENSCJPG00005001238.1)
Source: RNAcentral